Molecule: long non-coding RNA, 733 nt
Organism: Peromyscus eremicus (cactus mouse)
Lineage: Eukaryota; Metazoa; Chordata; Mammalia; Rodentia; Cricetidae
Exons: 4
Source: RefSeq, a predicted model, not a curated record
UUUAUUAAACCAAAGCAGCUGGUCCUUGUGCUGCUCUGGACAUUUUGUUCCUUAAAGGACAGAAGAAAGAGCAAGGGGGAUGGUAUAUCAACUGGAAAAUGGCAAGUCCUGGAUGCUGAGUGGUGUCAAAAGGGUUGGUGACCUACACUUGUGAUGCUUGUGCUCGGAAAGUCUAGGAGGACACGGAGAAAAUGCCAAACAGCCAGAAUACUUGAGGAUGAACAAAUAACAUGAAUGCAGUCCUCGCCCCUCGUCAAGGAAGCUUCUCAACAGACGGAGACAAUCACAGAAAACCACAACCAAUCAAAGUGCAGAGUGUGGAGCUCAGUCCCAAUGGACACAUCUAUACAGGGAACCAUGGAGCUGGCCUGGCCUAGCUGCCUCGAGAGGCAUACAUCACAGGGUUUUCAGGUUAGAGUCCGUGGCUCCUGGAGCACAAUGUACCUUCCAGUUCCCGGGAGACCAAUGCACUCCCACGGGCAGCAAAGCACCACUUUGUGUUUCUCUGUACGUUCCCUUAGUAGUCAAGGAAGCAUGAAGGCUUGACAGGACAAUUGAUCUUAGACAUUAACCUUGUGUAACCUGUAUGACUUGCAAACGUCACUGUAUCCUGGCAACGACAGCUGUAUGAUCCUGGCAAUUGUCAUUAUAUUCUGUUUCUGAUGAAGGUAUAAAAAGUCUGAUUGCUCUCAAUAAAAUUGUCACAGGCUCAGUUGUGCUGUGGCCCCUCCAA